UACGGAGGGGCUAGCGUUGUUCGGAAUUACUGGGCGUAAAGCGCACGUAGGCGGCUUUGUAAGUUAGAGGUGAAAGCCCAGGGCUUAACCCUGGAAUUGCCUUUAAGACUGCAUCGCUUGAAUCGUGGAGAGGUGAGUGGAAUUCCGAGUGUAGAGGUGAAAUUCGUAGAUAUUCGGAAGAACACCAGUGGCGAAGGCGACUCACUGGACACGUAUUGACGCUGAGGUGCGAAAGCGUGGGGAGCAAACAGG
This 252-nucleotide ribosomal RNA is filed under the name uncultured bacterium. RNAcentral describes it as "partial 16S ribosomal RNA". It matches the Rfam family "Bacterial small subunit ribosomal RNA", at positions 524 to 776 of the family's 1533-position model. The record is from RNAcentral.